GCACUAUCAGCCAGACUAGCCAGUACUAUCAGCCAGACUAGCCAGUACUAUCAGCCAGAGUAACUGCCACUAUCAGCCAGACUAACUGCCACUGUUCCGGAGAAUAACUGCCUCUGUCGACCAGGAGCGAUGUGACUGCGGCCUGUAACCCUGAGGUUAGAAACACAGAUGGGGUGGGUGACAGUAGCUUGUGUUCAGUAGCAGGGAAG
Molecule: non-coding RNA, 209 nt
Organism: Pelobates cultripes (western spadefoot toad)
Lineage: Eukaryota; Metazoa; Chordata; Amphibia; Anura; Pelobatidae
Source: the annotation of a GenBank genome assembly